UCAGAUUGAACGCUGGCGGCAGGCCUAACACAUGCAAGUCGAACGGUAACAGAAAGCAGCUUGCUGCUUUGCUGACGAGUGGCGGACGGGUGAGUAAUGUCUGGGAAACUGCCUGAUGGAGGGGGAUAACUACUGGAAACGGUAGCUAAUACCGCACAACGUCGCAAGACCAAAGAGGGGGACCUUCGGGCCUCUUGCCAUCGGAUGUGCCCAGAUGGGAUUAGCUUGUUGGUGGGGUAACGGCUCACCAAGGCGACGAUCUCUAGCUGGUCUGAGAGGAUGACCAGCCACACUGGAACUGAGACACGGUCCAGACUCCUACGGGAGGCAGCAGUGGGGAAUAUUGCACAAUGGGCGCAAGCCUGAUGCAGCCAUGCCGCGUGUAUGAAGAAGGCCUUCGGGUUGUAAAGUACUUUCAGCGGGGAGGAAGGGAGUAAAGUUAAUACCUUUGCUCAUUGACGUUACCCGCAGAAGAAGCACCGGCUAACUCCGUGCCAGCAGCCGCGGUAAUACG
Molecule: ribosomal RNA, 514 nt
Filed under: uncultured bacterium
Lineage: Bacteria
Description: bacterial SSU rRNA
Rfam family: Bacterial small subunit ribosomal RNA
Source: RNAcentral